This is a long non-coding RNA of Daphnia magna, 829 nucleotides long. RefSeq lists it as uncharacterized. NCBI's taxonomy places the organism in Eukaryota, Metazoa, Arthropoda, Branchiopoda, Diplostraca, Daphniidae. The transcript has 2 exons. The record is from RefSeq and is a predicted model, not a curated record.
CUAAAGGAAAUCGGAGAACGUAUUGUGCGUACGACUUCUUCCUUCUCCAGUCGUUUUUGUCUGUUGUAUAUUCUUACGUGCGCCGUGUGUGUGUGUGUACAACAACAACAAAAAGAAGAAGAAGAAAUAGAAAAAAAAAAUAAUAAUAAAACCUCUUUUUCCACUCUAUUUUUCUAUGGGGAAAAUAAGGCGAAUCAAAAAUGUAAGGGACGAGUCGGCCGUGUGUGCGCGUUAUACGAUGGAACACGACGGUGACCAUCGGGGGCAUCGGACGCACGCCGGGCUAUUUCUCGUCGCCAUUGUACGCGUGUGUGUGUGUGUGAUUUUUACCUUCUUUCAUCUGUUGAAAAGGUGUCCCUCCUUUUCUAUGCGAGUGUGUGUGCAUCAAAGGUUUUUCUGAUGGACAGAAUUGAGAAAGGAAGGGAAAAAAAAAAAAAAGAUGGAGAAAAUAGAAUAUGACGACGAUGACGGAACUCGUACGGCCGAAGAAAAGUGGGAGGUUCCCAUUUUUUUUUUCUUUUCCUAAAAGCUGAGCUGGCCUUUACAAACAAACAAACAAUAACGUCGGGUAGCUAAGAAAAAUCCAACUUUUUCUUUUGCUGACUUUGGGAAAACUAAAAAUAUCACGACUUUUCCUGGUGGGACGUCCGCACCGGAGCGCCGCAAGAAAAUAGCCCAAGAAUAAACGGGCACGGACCGUGUACACACAAUGAAUUCUUUUUCUUCAUCCAUCAUAUUCCUUAUCGCCCCCAAAAAACCUUUGAAUUUUUCCUAUUAAUACAAUAACAAACAAACAACAACAAAAAUAAGUUUUUGCGCGACGCCUCUA